UGUCUUUUGUUCAUUGAUUGCCCUUCUGUAUUCUGUUAGUGUUGCAUUCCUUUUGUAAUCUAGUAAUUUUGUUAUGAACUUGAUCAUGAGUUUAAAAAAAAAAACAGCAGCCACAGGCCUAACUAUGUGAAUUCCAUUUUUGCUUUAUCAUGCACAUUGAUCUUUUGAUGUUGUCCCUAGAAACUUCAGUCUUGCACUGAAUUUAUACAUUUUGCUUUGAGACCAAAAUAUUGUCAAAAAAUUAUUAAAACAAAACUUCAUUUUCAGAUUAUGAAAGGGUCUUCGGAACACCCAGAAAGCAUGAUUUUGCAUCAUUUGUUCUAUAGCUUCUUGAACCUUCAGUGGCUCCAAAACCCUUCAAAAAAAAUUUUGCCUCGCUCCGCUCGGCGUAGUAUGUUUGCCAAUACAUUUAAAAGUUCCUACUUAUAACUAAACUUCAAUACUAUGUAUGUAUGCAAUACAUGUAUAUGCAGUUGGGAAUUUAAAAGAUUCAUUUCUGCAGAGGGGGAUGGUUAAUCUAAUUAAAUGGUACAUAAUGACUUGACUAUACUAUAUGUAU
Molecule: long non-coding RNA, 559 nt
Filed under: Mytilus galloprovincialis (Mediterranean mussel)
Lineage: Eukaryota; Metazoa; Mollusca; Bivalvia; Mytilida; Mytilidae
Source: RNAcentral